CAAAACGCGAUGACGGAGCAAAAAGACGCGUGAUUUUCACCUGAAGAGAGCCGGCGGUCGGUGUGAGCCGGUGGGAAAAUACGCGUGGAUGACUCACUCCCGAGCAGUCCGCCUGAAAGGGCGGAACGGUCGCCCCCGUUACGGGCAAGGCUAUGAAGCCGCUGAGGGCUCACGGGAAACCGUGCGCUGAAUCAGGGUGGUAUCGCGUAAUGUGUUCGUUACGUCCCUGAC
This 231-nucleotide non-coding RNA is filed under the name Bacillota bacterium. Its description in RNAcentral is "Firmicutes bacterium T-box sequence". It matches the Rfam family "T-box leader". From Rfam's summary of the family: Uncharged tRNA acts as the effector for transcription antitermination of genes in the T-box leader family. T-boxes are found upstream of many aminoacyl-tRNA synthetase genes and some amino acid biosynthetic genes usually in Gram-positive bacteria. The record is from RNAcentral. Lineage: Bacteria; Bacillati; Bacillota.